This is a long non-coding RNA of Equus caballus (horse), 1442 nucleotides long. NCBI's taxonomy places the organism in Eukaryota, Metazoa, Chordata, Mammalia, Perissodactyla, Equidae. The record is from Ensembl.
AAGCUUCCAGGUUGGUGAACAGGUGGAGGUUCUAGGAGAGUGGCUCACUUAGAGAAGGCGUGGAAGCUCCGCGCCGUUUCCCCAUAUCUUGCUCUAUGCAUCUCUUCCAUCUGGCUGUUCCUGAGUUAUAUCCUUUUAUAAUAAACCAGUAAUCUAAUAAGAAAAAUGUUUCUUUGAGUGAGCUGCUCUAGCAAAUUAAUCAAAACCAAGAAAGGAGGGGCUUGUGGGAACCUCCAAUCUGUAGCCAGUGGGUCAAAAAGCACAGAUUAGAUUUCUCUGGCUCCAUAUGAAUCCGGUUUUUCUCCUCUUGAUGACAUCAAUCAUAGCGGGACUUUCCUUCAUUGCUAGUCAGAGUUGGAACCACUGCCUCCUUAAAGAAACGUCUUGCUUUUUCUUGGAAGACUCUCCAUUAUCCUCAAUUUCAGUUGGUUCUGAUCACCAGAGAGGAGAAGAGCAAAAGGUAUGGACACAUAUCACCAUUUCAAAGUCUGCUGGAUCAUGUCAGGAGUUCCCGAGGACGAUAAGCACCAGCCGAAGGGAGCCAGAGCAAGAGCUGCAGGAAGAUGGAGGGAGAAGCAAAGACUAUACUUGUGAGAAUACACGGGGCACCCACUGGAAGUUACCGAGAAAGAACUAUUGUUGAUAUCUAUCAAUCAUAUAAGGGAUGGCUUAGAGCUCUUGUAAAAGAGAGUGAAAAUUGUAUAUAAACCCAACAAAUUGGAAAAUGCAAGACAAAAUCUACCCUAUAGACGCAAAAGAUGAGCAUCUAAAUUAGAGAAUUUGAGGACUGACAUCUUUGUAUUUUCCCUUCUAGUAAAACAGAAUGAGAAAAGUUUAUAGAGAAACCAUUUUUGUUUUUGUUGUUAUUGGCAUUGUUUGCUCCUAAGGGUAGACAGUGUGUCUAAAAACUACUUGUGGGCUUUCUAUAUCACUUUAGCUGUAUACUAGGAAACCCAGAGCCUCAGGGAAAAAUUGAAAGAGAAAUGCCGACUAUAUAGAGUAUGUUGUGAAUAUCAGCACAGCUAAUAAGUAUCAUAGUGAAACAAUAGUAUUAAAUCUCGUUCCAGCACUCAAACUUAUAGAAGUGUUCAAAAAGCUAUCUGAGGGGAGAGCGGUAGGGAGUGGGGACAGGAGGGUGGGGGAAUCUCUAGAACCAAUUCAGAUUUUUUUAGAGGACUUCCGUGUUGUGGCUCUCAUGAUUCCUAUUCUUUCCAGCGUAUCACUAGAUAGACACCCACAGUCACCUAUCACCAUAUGACUUCCUGGGGCUGUCCUUUAAUUUUGUUUUUCAAGAAAUAGUUAAGAUUGAGAAAUUAAUAAAAAUCUCAAUCAUAUCUUACUAGCCAGUUUAAUGGUUUAAGAUGCUAGCCAUACUUUGGUGAUGUUACGGUUUUUGUCCUCUUAUGUUUUAUAAUUUAUUACAAUCUGCUAUACCUUUGAUA